UAGUGACAUUUGGGGUGCCGAAAGCUGAGAUUAUACCCAUUGAACCUGACACAGUUAAUACUGGCGAAGGGAAAUGUAAAAAUGUUUAU
This is a non-coding RNA of Aerococcus viridans, 89 nucleotides long. Lineage: Bacteria; Bacillati; Bacillota; Bacilli; Lactobacillales; Aerococcaceae. The record is from Rfam.